GGGCGCGUAGCUCAGCGGUAGAGCGCUCGUUUCACAUGCGAGAGGUCGCUGGUUCAAACCCAGCCGCGCCCACCA
RNAcentral lists this transfer RNA (75 nucleotides) under bacterium. Its description in RNAcentral is "tRNA-Val". It matches the Rfam family "tRNA". From Rfam's summary of the family: Transfer RNA (tRNA) molecules are approximately 80 nucleotides in length. Their secondary structure includes four short double-helical elements and three loops (D, anti-codon, and T loops). RNAcentral also lists the same sequence under 1 other name. The record is from RNAcentral.